UACGUAGGGGGCAAGCGUUGUCCGGAAUUAUUGGGCGUAAAGCGCGCGCAGGCGGUCAAUCAAGUCCGGUGUUUAAACCCAAGGCUCAACCUUGGGUCGCACUGGAAACUGGUAGACUGGAGUGCAGGAGAGGAAAGUGGAAUUCCACGUGUAGCGGUGAAAUGCGUAGAGAUGUGGAGGAACACCAGUGGCGAAGGCGACUUUCUGGCCUGAAACUGACGCUGAGGCGCGAAAGCGUGGGGAGCAAACAGG
RNAcentral lists this ribosomal RNA (252 nucleotides) under uncultured bacterium. Its description in RNAcentral is "partial 16S ribosomal RNA". It matches the Rfam family "Bacterial small subunit ribosomal RNA", at positions 524 to 776 of the family's 1533-position model. The record is from RNAcentral.